Molecule: long non-coding RNA, 1932 nt
Organism: Lolium rigidum
Lineage: Eukaryota; Viridiplantae; Streptophyta; Magnoliopsida; Poales; Poaceae
Exons: 15
Source: RefSeq, a predicted model, not a curated record
GCAUCAACCGCCGCUCGCCGACAUUCAGCCGUCCACGCUCAUGGCGUCCAAGGCCGUGGCCACGGGACGGAAGACGAGGACGGGGACGCCAUCUCCAGCCACGCUAAAGGUUAACUAACUGGAACAAGCCCAGCCGAAUCCAAACUCCGCAACCAUCAUACCUGACCCUUUAUUCUGGUAUGGCUCCGACAAUGCUGCUGCGCCAUCUGUUGCCCUCCGAUAUCUGACACCAACAUGGCAACUUGUCUUGUGAGUGGCAGCCUAAUGUAGGCGUGUAUUGUCAUAAACUACGACAGAUUCGGCUCAUACAUACUUCCACCUGCCUAAAACUGUGAUAGCACUCUUUGUUUUGCUGAUGAAGGACUACUGGAUAAUUCAUUUUGGACCAAGGGUGAUGCUGACUCUGGGAUAAUUGCCCAAGUUAGAGGAAGGGGCUUUAGACAUGAGAAGACCAAGACCAAGCAUGUUGGUGGUGAUGUCCACUGUAGCUGCUGCCGGCGUCUACUAUGGCCUGCGCCCCCUGCCUUCCACUGUGACAUCUCCUACAGUGGUGUCCUUCUUUGACUACAUGUGUUCAGGCGAUGCAACUUCAGAAGGCUGGUAGCAUUGCAGGCAAGCCUGGAGGGUGGAAGGAUUCCCUUUCCAAUUGAAUACCUUGGCUGUAAUGGUUGCGGACUGUUAUUUGUCACUCCACUUCUGGACUGUUGGGUGGUAGUUGGUAAACGUCCCCUGCGCCUACCAGCACCAACUCACUUCCUUGUGUUUUAUGCAGCAUCCCUGACCCGAUGGCCAUUCAGUCUGGUGUCACCCGUUUGCCUGCCAUUCGGUCUGGUGUCACCAGGCCGCCUAUGGCUGCUCCCACCCGUCGACCAUAGGACCACCAUCCGCCUAUGGCUGUCUGGUGUGUGUCACCCAGCUGUUACAGCUCUGCCAAUGCUGCUGGGCUGCCAGUCGGCUUGCACGCUUGCCGCCUUUGCUCUUGCCGCCUUUGCUCAUAUUGGUGUCUGGGAUCCAAUUCUUUUUUGACUUGUCCUAGUAACCUGCCCCACAAAAUACCUCUCAUUACUCACACCGUCGCCACUUUCACAUUGGCAGAUGGGAGAUCAUUCCGACUUCCGUGAUGCCUCCCAGGUUAACUAACUAACUGGAGCAAGCCCAGCCAAAUCCAAACUCCGCGACCAUGUACAUACCCUGCUCCUUCGGUCUGGUCUGCCUGCGACAAUGCUGCUGCGCCAUCCGUCGCCUCCGAUAUCUGACACCAAGAUGGUGACUAGUCUUGUGAGUGGCAGCCAAAUUUAGGCGCGUACUGUCAUAACUACGGCAUGCCUGAUUCUGCUAAUACAUACUUGCAACUGGCUAAAACUGUGAUAGCACUCUUUGUUUUGCUGAUGAAGGACUACUGGAUAAUUCAUUUUGGAACAAGGGUGAUGCAGACUCUGGGAUAAUUGGCCAAGUUAGAGGAAGGGGCUUUAGACACAUGAGGAGACCAAGACCAAGCAUGUUGGUGGUGCUGUCUACUGUAGCUGCUGCUGGCGUCUACUAUGGCCUGCGCCCCCUGCCUUCGACUGUGACAUCUCGUACAGCGGUGUGCUUCUUUGACUACAUGUGUUCAGGCGAUGCAAGUUCAGAAGGCUGGUAGCAUCGCAGGCAUGACUGGAUGGUGGAAGGAUUCCCUUUGCUUGUGAAACCAAGUGAAUACCUGGGCUGUAAUGGUUGCGGACUGUUAUUUGUCACUCCACUUCUGGACUGUUGGGUGGUAGUUGACAAAGUAUCGGUGUUCUUUUGAUGUUCCAGACUGUAGCAUAUGUUUGUCUAGACUUGUGAUGGAGUUGGGUUGUGCUGUUGCACUUUUAUUGUUUAUUGUUUGGAUUGUGAUCUGGUUGCCCCCAGAACAGGGGAUGUUAUGCAGAAAUUUUCUGAGAAUUUGAAUAA